CGACCAAAAUCAGAAACCUCCCCCCUCCCCCCAUAUCAACACAGCUUCUCGCGGUAGGCGUAUUCUCCUCUAUCUCUCGUUGCAGGAUCCCUAUCUUGAGCAGAUCGAUCACGACCCGCCCUCCCUCCUGAACCUCAUGGCUGGCCCCGCCGAUUCCAGCAUUCAGGUGAGCGCACAAGAGGCGUGUCUUGUUCGGCAACAGUGUCGGAGAAAGUAGAUCAAUCCCCACCCAUGAUUAAACACAUGAAUUUUGGGGGCCCUUCAGAUAGGGGGAGUUGCUUCGGAUUCUUCUUCUAUAAGAUUUAGCCGAACAUAACAGGUGGCUUAGAUCUGGUAACUGUUGGAGUGUCAGGUGUGGACGCUUGCAGUAUUUUAAUAUAGUUCUGCACCAUUGCUUCCUUGCAGAUAUGUCACAGAUAAGAAUUAGCGUUCUUGAAUCCAACAAAGAAUAUAUGAUGGAAGAACCGACCGAACAUCAAUUCUGCUGAAAAAGAUGUCGAAUCAUUUGAUGUCAAUGAAAGAACUACUAAUGAUGAAGAAGGCUUCACAGAUUGUGAUGAUGUUGACCUGGAUGAAAAUGAAGAUGCUGAAAUGCAUAAACAAAAGAGCGUUAGAAGAGGAAGCUGAAAUAUAUUUGGAACCUUCCAAAAGGGAAAAGGAUAAUGGUUCACUAUAAUGACCUAGAUCAGCCAAUUGGAAAAGAGGUCAACAUCUUCGGGACUUUCUUGGCCCGGUUGCAAGGAAUGGAUCAUUGUGUUGCUUCAGCUACAAGGAUCAGAGAUUUCUCAAAACUGAAAUAAACCUAAAAGCAAUAAUAGAUCAAGUAAAGAUUCAAAAGAUAAAUUGAUGAGUAUAUGGGUCUAUGGCAAGUAUACUGGAUGGUGUCGAUGUCAUGUUUCAUGAUGAUGAUGGAUGCUUUUAGUUUUAGUUAUGUUGUACGGAUGACGUUCCUGCUAAAUGUUGUUCCCAGGUUAAGUUUUAGUUAUGUUGUACAGAUGAUGUUCUUGCUGGAUGGUGUUCCUUAAGUUUUAGGUAAGUUGUAGGGAUGUUGAUGGAUUCUUUCAUUUUAAGUUUCACUCUGAGAUUAUGCAUCACAUUUGGAUGAUGUUACUAUCCACUAUUGUAAUCCAACAGCUUUAUCUAAUAUACGAUUUAUUCCUCU
This is a long non-coding RNA of Triticum aestivum (bread wheat), 1162 nucleotides long. RefSeq lists it as uncharacterized. The record is from RefSeq and is a predicted model, not a curated record. The transcript has 6 exons. NCBI's taxonomy places the organism in Eukaryota, Viridiplantae, Streptophyta, Magnoliopsida, Poales, Poaceae.